ACGAACGCUGGCGGCGUGCUUAACACAUGCAAGUCGAACGGUGAAGCGCCUUCCUUUUUGGUGGGUGUGGAUGAGUGGCGAACGGGUGAGUAACACGUGAGUAACCUGCCCCCUUCUUCUGGAUAACCGCAUGAAAGUGUGGCUAAUACGGGAUAUUCUGGGUCUGUCGCAUGAUGGGUCUGGGAAAGAUAUUGUUUCGGUGGGGGAUGGGCUCGCGGCCUAUCAGCUUGUUGGUGGGGUGAUGGCCUACCAAGGCGGUGACGGGUAGCCGGCCUGAGAGGGUGGACGGUCACACUGGGACUGAGACACGGCGCAGACUCCUACGGGAGGCAGCAGUGGGGAAUAUUGCACAAUGGGCGCAAGCCUGAUGCAGCGACGCCGCGUGAGGGAUGGAGGCCUUCGGGUUGUGAACCUCUUUCGCCAGUGAAGCAGGCCUGCCUCGUUUGUGGGUGGGUUGACGGUAGCUGGAUAAGAAGCGCCGGCUAACUACGUG
RNAcentral lists this ribosomal RNA (493 nucleotides) under uncultured bacterium. RNAcentral's name for it is "partial 16S ribosomal RNA". It matches the Rfam family "Bacterial small subunit ribosomal RNA", at positions 29 to 507 of the family's 1533-position model. The record is from RNAcentral.